CGAACGCUGGCGGCGUGCCUAAUACAUGCAAGUCGAACGCACUCUCGUUUAGAUUGAAGGAGUUUGCUCCUGAUUGAUAAACAUUUGAGUGAGUGGCGGACGGGUGAGUAACACGUGGGUAACCUGCCCUAAAGUGGGGGAUAACAUUUGGAAACAGAUGCUAAUACCGCAUAAAACCUAACACCGCAUGGUGUAGGGUUGAAAGAUGGUUUCGGCUAUCACUUUAGGAUGGACCCGCGGUGCAUUAGUUAGUUGGUGAGGUAAAGGCUCACCAAGACCGUGAUGCAUAGCCGACCUGAGAGGGUAAUCGGCCACACUGGGACUGAGACACGGCCCAGACUCCUACGGGAGGCAGCAGUAGGGAAUCUUCCACAAUGGACGAAAGUCUGAUGGAGCAACGCCGCGUGAGUGAAGAAGGUGUUCGGAUCGUAAAACUCUGUUGUUGGAGAAGAAUGUAUCUGAUAGUAACUGAUCAGGUAGUGACGGUAUCCAACCAGAAAGCCACGGCUAACUACGUG
This 518-nucleotide ribosomal RNA is filed under the name uncultured bacterium. Its description in RNAcentral is "partial 16S ribosomal RNA". It matches the Rfam family "Bacterial small subunit ribosomal RNA", at positions 30 to 507 of the family's 1533-position model. The record is from RNAcentral.